AUGUCGCCGUCAAUGGAUGAGUUGCGUCGGCCGCCCGAGUUCGACCACAUGUUCACGGACGAGGCGUGGGCCAGCAUGACCCAGGACACGCGGCGCCGGAUCGUCGACAUCUCGUGCCGGGAGGAACAAGAGCCCACCCAAGAGGAACGCCGCAUGCAUCAACUCAUCGCCGGCGCCGGCGGGCCCUGCAGCGUCUUCACCGACGCCUUUGCCUUCGCUGAGGUACUGGAUUUCGCGGACAGACAUCACCAGGAGGCGGAGCGAGAGGACUGGGAGGCGGUGCUGCAAGGGCGGCAUUACGCCGACGAAUGCGCAGAUGACGAUGAGGACGGCAAGACGACGACGGCGCAGACCGUGGACACCCGGCGGCCGAACCACCAUAUCUCCGAACAAACGUUGUCCAGGGAUAUACAGAAAUCAAAGGCUUUUCUGUGGACUCGAUACCACCAGCUACACCUCCUACACCGACCCUCACAGCUCGGCCAGGUCCGAUGA
RNAcentral lists this ribosomal RNA (495 nucleotides) under Triticum aestivum (bread wheat). RNAcentral's name for it is "partial small subunit ribosomal RNA". The record is from RNAcentral. Lineage: Eukaryota; Viridiplantae; Streptophyta; Magnoliopsida; Poales; Poaceae.